Molecule: ribosomal RNA, 1452 nt
Filed under: uncultured bacterium
Lineage: Bacteria
Description: bacterial SSU rRNA
Rfam family: Bacterial small subunit ribosomal RNA
Source: RNAcentral
AGAGUUUGAUCCUGGCUCAGAGUGAACGCUGGCGGCGUGCUUAACACAUGCAAGUCGAACGGUAACAGGUCUUCGGAUGCUGACGAGUGGCGGACGGGUGAGUAAUGUAUAGGUAUGUGCCCCAUAGACUAGGAUAGCCACUGGAAACGGUGAUUAAUACUGGAUACUCCUUACGAGGGAAAGAUUUAUCGCUAUGGGAUCGGCCUAUAUUGUAUCAGCUAGUUGGUGAGGUAAAGGCUCACCAAGGCAAUGACACAUAACUGGUCUGAGAGGAUGAUCAGUCACACUGGAACUGAGACACGGUCCAGACUCCUACGGGAGGCAGCAGUGGGGAAUAUUACACAAUGGAGGAAACUCUGAUGUAGCAACGCCGCGUGGAGGAUGACACAUUUCGGUGCGUAAACUCCUUUUAUUAGGGAAGAUAAUGACGGUACCUAAUGAAUAAGCACCGGCUAACUCCGUGCCAGCAGCCGCGGUAAUACGGAGGGUGCAAGCGUUACUCGGAAUCACUGGGCGUAAAGCGCGCGCAGGCGGGUUUGUAAGUUGGAAGUGAAAUCCACUGGCUUAACCAGUGAACUGCUUCCAAAACUACUUACCUAGAGUCUGGGAGGGGAAGAUGGAAUUAGUUGUGUAGGGGUAAAAUCCGUAGAGAUAACUAGGAAUAUCAAAAGCGAAGGCGAUCUUCUGGAACAGUACUGACGCUGAGGCGCGAAAGCGUGGGGAGCAAACAGGAUUAGAUACCCUGGUAGUCCACGCCCUAAACGAUGAAUGUUAGUCGUCGGUAUGCUCGUCAUAUCGGUGAUGCACUUAACAGAUUAAACAUUCCGCCUGGGGAGUACGGUCGCAAGAUUAAAACUCAAAGGAUAGACGGGGACCCGCACAAGUGGUGGAGCAUGUGGUUUAAUUCGAAGAUACGCGAAGAACCUUACCUAGCCUUGACAUUGAUAGAAUCCGCUAGAGAUAGUGGAGUGCCAGUUUACUGGAGCUUGAAAACAGGUGCUGCACGGCUGUCGUCAGCUCGUGUCGUGAGAUGUUGGGUUAAGUCCCGCAACGAGCGCAACCCUCGUGACUAGUUACUAACGGUUCGGCCGAGGACUCUAGUCAGACUGCCUUCGUAAGGAGGAGGAAGGUGAGGACGACGUCAAGUCAUCAUGGCCCUUACGGCUAGGGCGACACACGUGCUACAAUGGGCAGGACAAUGAGACGCAAUACCGCGAGGUGGAGCAAAUCUAUAAACCUGCUCUCAGUUCGGAUUGUAGUCUGCAACUCAACUACAUGAAGCUGGAAUCACUAGUAAUCGUAGAUCAGCCAUGCUACGGUGAAUACGUUCCCGGGUCUUGUACUCACCGCCCGUCACACCAUGGGAGUUGAUUUCACCCGAAGCGGGGAAGCUAAACUGGCUACCCUCCACGGUGGAAUCAGCGACUGGGGUGAAGUCGUAACAAGGUAACC